CUCGCUCCUAUUUCCUGGAGUGAACUCUCUUUUCGACUAUAUACUCUUUGUGUGAUGGACCUGCCUUCCCAUUGGUUGAAAAACGUCAAAACAGUCUUGCAAAGCAUCAUGGGAGAUUUAUACUAGACUGUAGCAGCCGGUAGCACAUAGCUAGUUGCCAAAAUGACGGAAAAUUGAUAAAUUACGGACAUCGAGUGGAUAAAUCUUGGAUGUAAGCGUUUGGAUUUAUUGCUGAACAACUCCGAAAAGAGGCACAAGUUCCAGGCUGGAUAGAAAACCUUCUGUAAAGGCUACAAAGACAACAAAGACACCCCCGUGAUGGCUAGCUUGUUAGCUUCUAGCUGGAAAAAACGAUAACAGACAAAUACAGACAGAAUGUAAUGAGAGGUGAUGAAUGAUGGCAGAUGCUGCAUGGAGACAAACAAAUGGACAUGAAGGCAGGAUGGAGAUAUGCAUGCAGCCGAUUGAUGUCCGAUGAUGAACGGAAGACUCCUCCCAGCGCACCUGAGGCAGAUCUCAUCAGGAGAGAUGCUGGAGGAACACGGAACGCGCUCCAACACACCGGGAGCGCAUUUUGAUAAUGAAUGGCUGAGACACAAGGAGGAAAGAGGAGCUGAUAGAAAGUGAAAAAGAAACGUUGGGGACGCUACAGGAGUGCAGGACGGAGCACAGAUAGACGGGCAGGACAGCGGAGCCGGAGGACAGCUGUGGAUGUUUGGUGGAUCGGCGCGUUGGCGCCGGGAAAAGCAGAGUGGACGUUGUGUGCUGCUGGCCCUCUU
Perca fluviatilis (European perch) is the source of this 779-nucleotide long non-coding RNA. RefSeq lists it as uncharacterized. The record is from RefSeq and is a predicted model, not a curated record. The transcript has 3 exons. Lineage: Eukaryota; Metazoa; Chordata; Actinopteri; Perciformes; Percidae.